CCUACGGGAGGCAGCAGUGGGGAAUAUUGCACAAUGGGGGGAACCCUGAUGCAGCGACGCCGCGUGGGUGAAGGAGCACCUCGGCGCGUAAAGCCCUAUCGGCAGGGAAGAAGGAGGACGGUACCUGACUAAGAAGCCCCGGCUAACUACGUGCCAGCAGCCGCGGUAAUACGUAGGGGGCAAGCGUUAUCCGGAUUUACUGGGUGUAAAGGGGGCGCAGACAGCAGCGCAAGCCAGGAGUGAAAGCCCGGGGCCCAACCCCGGGACUGCUCUUGGAAC
RNAcentral lists this ribosomal RNA (279 nucleotides) under uncultured bacterium. Its description in RNAcentral is "partial 16S ribosomal RNA". It matches the Rfam family "Bacterial small subunit ribosomal RNA", at positions 338 to 633 of the family's 1533-position model. The record is from RNAcentral.